RNAcentral lists this unclassified non-coding RNA (249 nucleotides) under Glomus sp. RNAcentral's name for it is "partial contains 5.8S ribosomal RNA and internal transcribed spacer 2". The stretch from base 1 to 65 matches the Rfam family "5.8S ribosomal RNA", at positions 84 to 154 of the family's 154-position model. Lineage: Eukaryota; Fungi; Glomeromycota; Glomeromycetes; Glomerales; Glomeraceae. The record is from RNAcentral.
GUGAAUCAUCGAAUUUUUGAACGCAAAUUGCACUCUCCUCGAAGAGUAUGCCUGUUUGAGGGUCAGCCUCUAAAAAAUCGACAUCGUUGCUGUUUCGCGGUGACGUUCGUCGGAAAUUGGGUCAUCUUAAAUCCUUUUGGUUUUAAGCGACUUAAAACUUUCUUUUUGGUUCCUUGACCGUCUCUAUUAUUUAUUUCUUUACACGUUUAAGGUAUCGAUUUUUAGUAGACGUGACCAUGAUACCGUAUC